Molecule: ribosomal RNA, 694 nt
Filed under: Wolbachia pipientis
Lineage: Bacteria; Pseudomonadati; Pseudomonadota; Alphaproteobacteria; Rickettsiales; Anaplasmataceae
Description: bacterial SSU rRNA
Rfam family: Bacterial small subunit ribosomal RNA
Source: RNAcentral
GGGGAAAAAUUUAUUGCUAUUAGAUGAGCCUAUAUUAGAUUAGCUAGUUGGUGGAGUAAUAGCCUACCAAGGCAAUGAUCUAUAGCUGAUCUGAGAGGAUGGUCAGCCACACUGGAACUGAGAUACGGUCCAGACUCCUACGGGAGGCAGCAGUGGGGAAUAUUGGACAAUGGGCGAAAGCCUGAUCCAGCCAUGCCGCAUGAGUGAAGAAGGCCUUUGGGUUGUAAAGCUCUUUUAGUGAGGAAGAUGAUGACUGUACUCACAGAAGAAGUCCUGGCUAACUCCGUGCCAGCAGCCGCGGUAAUACGGAGAGGGCUAGCGUUAUUCGGAAUUAUUGGGCGUAAAGGGCGCGUAGGCGGAUUAGUAAGUUAAAAGUGAAAUCCCAAGGCUCAACCUUGGAAUUGCUUUUAAAACUGCUAAUCUAGAGAUUGAAAGAGGAUAGAGGAAUUCCUAGUGUAGAGGUGAAAUUCGUAAAUAUUAGGAGGAACACCAGUGGCGAAGGCGUCUAUCUGGUUCAAAUCUGACGCUGAGGCGCGAAGGCGUGGGGAGCAAACAGGAUUAGAUACCCUGGUAGUCCACGCUGUAAACGAUGAAUGUUAAAUAUUGGAAGUUUUACUUUCUGUAUUACAGCUAACGCGUUAAACAUUCCGCCUGGGGACUACGGUCGCAAGAUUAAAACUCAAAGGAAUUGACG